Pseudopipra pipra is the source of this 527-nucleotide long non-coding RNA. RefSeq lists it as uncharacterized. The transcript is spliced from 2 exons. The record is from RefSeq and is a predicted model, not a curated record. NCBI's taxonomy places the organism in Eukaryota, Metazoa, Chordata, Aves, Passeriformes, Pipridae.
AAAAGGAGGAAAGAAUAGAUGUGUGUCAUUGCUUUUCAUCCAAGUGGCUUUGCCACCAGGCUGGCACACUCCUGCAUUGUAAUGCACUUUUCAAGCUAUGGGGUGGUUUGAAGCCACAUCUGGUAUCAGAGACUGGAGUGAAAGUAUAAAGCUGUCUGCCUUCUGCCCUGAGAUUCACUCCUUGCCUUGGCUGUAAGCCACUAAACCACAAUUAAAAUAGCAUGAACAGGAUGUGUCACUGAAAUGAAGAUCACAGUGUUCCCUCAAACCCUCUGGUAAGCCCUGUGUAUGGCUUGCAUCCCUUGGGCACUGGUGUACAGGUAAAAGGCUUUACAAGCACAGCCAGAAAUUUAUGGCAGGAGCAGAUGAGGAGACAAAAACAAGAAUAUAAAGCAAGUGACAGAACUGGAGACAAGACAAUAACAAGUAAAUUGCCUCUUUGUUUUUCUCCCUCAUUUUCCAGCACUUUGGUACUAAGAACAGGCUCAGCGUUGUCAGCAGUAAAGCAAUGUUCUCUGUGUCUCCAA